This 331-nucleotide long non-coding RNA is filed under the name Mytilus galloprovincialis (Mediterranean mussel). Lineage: Eukaryota; Metazoa; Mollusca; Bivalvia; Mytilida; Mytilidae. The record is from RNAcentral.
UGUGGUGUAGUGGUUAGUGCAUCGGACUACUAACACAAAGGUUCCUGGUUUGAUUCCCAUUUGGGAUGAAAAUUUCAGGAACUCAAUUUUCAGCUCUCUCUUGACACCAUCUGCAAGUAUGGUCUUGAGGAAACGAUGAUAGUCCGUCGGAAGGGGAUGAUAAAUGGCUGACCCGUGUUAAGAGAGAGCCAUAUCUCUUGCACGUUAAAGACACCCUUGUAGAUUUCGAAAAAGAGUAGGCAGCACUUGCACCAGCAACGUGGAAAGGGAUUAAUAUAAGUUGCAAAACUUGUUUCCCAAUCCACUAUAAAUAAAUAUGUUUAAACUAGUA